UCGGGAAUUUUGGGCAAUGGGCGAAAGCCUGACCCAGCAACGCCGCGUGAAGGAUGAAAUCCCUCGGGAUGUAAACUUCGCAAGAUUGGGAAGAAUUAGUAGGGGUUAAUACCCCCUAUGAUGACGGUACCUUUUGUAAGCUCCGGCUAACUCCGUGCCAGCAGCCGCGGUAAUACGGGGGGAGCAAGCGUUGUUCGGAUUUACUGGGCGUAAAGGGCGCGUAGGCGGUCAGCACAAGUCAGUUGUGAAAUCUCCGGGCUUAACUCGGAAAGGUCAACUGAUACUGUGCGACUAGAGUGCAGAAGGGGCAACUGGAAUUCUCGGUGUAGCGGUGAAAUGCGUAGAUAUCGAGAGGAACACCUGCGGCGAAGGCGGGUUGCUGGGCUGACACUGACGCUGAGGCGCGAAAGCCAGGGGAGCGAACGGGAUUAGAUACCCCGGUAGUCCUGGCCUUAAACGAUGGAUGCUUGGUGUCUGGAGUUAUAUAGUCUCCGGGUGCCGCAGCUAAC
This 509-nucleotide ribosomal RNA is filed under the name uncultured Acidobacteriota bacterium. RNAcentral describes it as "bacterial SSU rRNA". It matches the Rfam family "Bacterial small subunit ribosomal RNA", at positions 355 to 856 of the family's 1533-position model. The record is from RNAcentral. Lineage: Bacteria; Pseudomonadati; Acidobacteriota.